UGGAAGGGACUUCAUUAAUUACAGUUUUUUUUUCUUGCUCUCGCGGGUAUCGCGCAUGUAGAACAGGCUAAUGAAGUGGUGUGUGGCGCAGGCACGGUAAUGGCCCCGGCCCCCGGGGACCCUCAGUUUUUUUUUGUUUCCUAGGGCAGUUCAUAACCCCCCCCCAAACCGGCUGCUGAUAAUUAUCCUGUAGCACAGAGAAGCCGCACGGGCGCAUACGUAAACUCCCCAGUCAGGUAACCCACCACCGAGUGCCUAACGGAGCAUUAAACAAAGCCGCCCCCGCCAUUACUCUUCUGAAGAUCCUCACAACAAGACACGCUGAGGCGGCCACGCCUGUGAAAUCUUAAUCAUCUGGUCAACCAGCGCAGAGUUACCUUCGUUUUCUGCAAAGAAAUUAGAACAAGGGAUGAUAUCUACUAAUGGCGGCCAUAAUGACGGAGCGCAGUGCGGUAAACCGACCUUUAAUGGAACUGGGCUGCAAUUCCACACACAACCUGGAGACAGAUGAGUGGAAGAGGAGUGCAACUGGGGUCUGGGGUGGAUCACCGGAGCCACCGCUGGAGAGUAGGAGAAAAAUAUGAGUUUUCUGCGAAGUGCCGACCCAAGGGCUGCGAAGACUGGAGGUCUAUGACGUCUCCGAAUCUCAGAGGAUGACUCAUAUUUAAGUAUCUUAAUUAUUAUUAUAACCUUGACGGCGCCCUGGCUCAUCAGGAGGCCCGGUGGUGAUGUCAGGAGAUUAGAACCAUCAGUAGUCGCAGGUCCUUGAGU
This is a long non-coding RNA of Hyla sarda, 771 nucleotides long. RefSeq lists it as uncharacterized. The record is from RefSeq and is a predicted model, not a curated record. NCBI's taxonomy places the organism in Eukaryota, Metazoa, Chordata, Amphibia, Anura, Hylidae. The transcript is spliced from 3 exons.